AGUGAACGCUGGCGGUAGGCCUAACACAUGCAAGUCGAACGGCAGCACAGUAAGAGCUUGCUCUUACGGGUGGCGAGUGGCGGACGGGUGAGGAAUACAUCGGAAUCUACUUUUUCGUGGGGGAUAACGUAGGGAAACUUACGCUAAUACCGCAUACGACCUACGGGUGAAAGCCGGGGAUCUUCGGACCUUGCGCGAUUGAAUGAGCCGAUGUCGGAUUAGCUAGUUGGCGGGGUAAAGGCCCACCAAGGCGACGAUCCGUAGCUGGUCUGAGAGGAUGAUCAGCCACACUGGAACUGAGACACGGUCCAGACGCCUACGGGAGGCAGCAGUGGGGAAUAUUGGACAAUGGGCGAAAGCCUGAUCCAGCCAUACCGCGUGGGUGAAGAAGGCCUUCGGGUUGUAAAGCCCUUUUGUUGGGAAAGAAAAGCAGCAGGUUAAUACCCCGCUGUUCUGACGGUACCCAAAGAAUAAGCACCGGCUAACUUCGUG
Molecule: ribosomal RNA, 492 nt
Filed under: uncultured bacterium
Lineage: Bacteria
Description: partial 16S ribosomal RNA
Rfam family: Bacterial small subunit ribosomal RNA
Source: RNAcentral